Molecule: ribosomal RNA, 209 nt
Filed under: uncultured bacterium
Lineage: Bacteria
Description: partial 16S ribosomal RNA
Rfam family: Bacterial small subunit ribosomal RNA
Source: RNAcentral
CGCGCAGGCGGCUCGUUAAGUCCAAGGUGAAAUCCCACGGCUCAACUGUGGGGGGACCCUGGAUACUGGCGAGCUGGAGUGCGGGAGAGGGAAGCGGAAUUCCACGUGUAACGGUGAAAUGUAUAGAUAUGUGGAGGAACACCGGUGGCGAAGGCGGCUUCCUGGACCGUAACUGACGCUGAGGCGCGAAAGCUGGGGGGAGCGAACAG